Molecule: unclassified non-coding RNA, 163 nt
Filed under: uncultured Chaetosphaeria
Lineage: Eukaryota; Fungi; Ascomycota; Sordariomycetes; Chaetosphaeriales; Chaetosphaeriaceae
Description: sequence contains ITS1
Source: RNAcentral
CAGGACUCGCAAGACUCCUACAACCCUGUGAACUUAACUACAAGCACGUUGCUUCGGCGGGUGUCUCGGCGCGGGUUCUCCCGCUCCGGGGCGCUAAGCCCGCCGGCAGCCUACUAUACUCUGUCUCUUUGCGUUGGCAUCUCGAGUACAAACAAACAAGUUA